CCUACGGGUGGCAGCAGUGGGGAAUAUUGCACAAUGGGGGAAACCCUGAUGCAGCAACGCCGCGUGAGUGAAGAAGGUUUUCGGAUUGUAAAGCUCUUUUAGCAGGGAAGAGGAAGGACGGUACCUGCAAAUGAAGCCACGGCAAACUACUUGCCAGCAGCCGCGGUAAUACGUAGGUGGCAAGCGUUGUUGGGAAUAACUGGGCGUAAAGGAGGCGUAGGGGGUUAAACAAGUUGGAUGUUAAUUAUAUAGGCUUAACCUGUAGAAAGCAUAUAAAACUGUUUAACUAGAGUGCAGGAGAGGUAAGUGGAAUUCUUGGUGUAGCGGUGAAAUGCGUAGAGAUUAGGAGGAACACUAGUGGCGAAGGCGACUUACUGGAAUGUAACUGACGCUGAGGCAUGAGAGCAUGGGGAGCAAACAGGAUUAGAUACCCUAGUAGUC
RNAcentral lists this ribosomal RNA (441 nucleotides) under uncultured bacterium. RNAcentral describes it as "partial 16S ribosomal RNA". It matches the Rfam family "Bacterial small subunit ribosomal RNA", at positions 338 to 795 of the family's 1533-position model. The record is from RNAcentral.